RNAcentral lists this unclassified non-coding RNA (257 nucleotides) under Glomus sp. RNAcentral's name for it is "partial contains 5.8S ribosomal RNA and internal transcribed spacer 2". The stretch from base 1 to 72 matches the Rfam family "5.8S ribosomal RNA", at positions 84 to 154 of the family's 154-position model. The record is from RNAcentral. Lineage: Eukaryota; Fungi; Glomeromycota; Glomeromycetes; Glomerales; Glomeraceae.
GUGAAUCAUCGAAUCUUUGAACGCAAAUUGCACUCUCCGGUUUUCCGGGAGAGUAUGCCUUUUUGAGGGUCAUCCUAAAAAAAAUCGACUUUGUUGCUGUUGUAUUGUGGCGUUCGGCGGAGAGGGGUUAUCUUAAAUCUCGGUUUAAGCGACUUAAAAAUUUUUUUACGAUUCUAAGAAUGUUUCUAAGAGUUUUCUUGUACGUUUAAGGUAUCGAAGGUCUUAUUAGACGUGGCCGUCAUAUCGUGUCGUGUCCA